AUGGCGGACUUCGCACUUGGGCUGACCAAGACGGCGGUGGAGGGGACGCUGAGCAGGGUAAAGUCGGCGAUAGAGGAGGAGGCCAAGCUCAAGGAGAAGGUGCACCAAGACCUGGUGUUCAUCAUCGGCGAGUUCCAGAUGAUGCAAUCCUUUCUGGAGACCGCCAAAUGGGAGCGUGCCAAGAACAAGGUGGCAAACACAUGGGUGCGGCAGCUCCGCGAGCUGGCCUUCGACGUGGAGGACUGUGUUGAGUUCGUUGUCCACCUGGACAAGGACUCUGCAUGGUGGUGGCGUGUGGUGCCUUCCUGCAUGGCACCACCACGGCACCUAGACGAGGCGGCCGCUGAGAUAAAGCAGCUCAAGGCCAGGGUGGAGGAUGUAAGCCAUAGGAACAUGCGCAACAACCUCAUCAGUGAUUCUGGCUCCCACUCGAAGAUCGUCAUGCCGAUGGCCCCGGCGGCCACCACCUCCAGCCCAUUAGCAUUCGACAACCUACGCCAAGUGUGGGAGGCUGCUGGGAAGAUACGUGACACCGGGGACCUUCAAGAUUUGAUCAGGCAUGAAGACAGUGACCUUCGAGUGAUAUCGGUAUGGGGAAGUACAGGAGAUGAUCUUGGAAUGACGUCCAUCUUCAGCAAGGCGUAUUGUGGCAAGAAAAUCAGCCAAGAAUUCAAAAGCCGUGCAUGGGUAAAGCUCAUACAUCCUUUUAACCCUGAAGAAUUCCUCAAGAACUUGCUGACUCAGUUCUACGAGAGCUCUCACCAAGCAAACGUAGAUGUUGGUCAUCUCAACAAGGCCCAGCUCAUGCAACAAGUGAUGGAACACAAGUAUCUCAUCAUCGUCGAAGGAGUAUCCACCGUGGUAGAGUGGAAUGCUAUUAAAAUGUAUCUUCCAAACAACAAGAAAGGCAGCCGGAUCCUUGUCUCGACGCAGGACUUAGGGAUUGCACUUCAAUCUCCUGGGGAGCCCUACCUAGUAUCAGAGCUCGGGCGGUUUUCGGAUGGAAAAUCACUUUGUGCCUUUUUCAAGAGGACCCCCCGACGGCACAGUGAUAUGGGUGAACUUAAAUGGCAAAUAAAAUGCCGCGGUGUGAUCUCGGUGCAUGGUAGUGCUCCGAGCAAAUCAAUUAUUGCCAGAAGGUUGUACCGCGGCAUAAUGUAUAACAGGGAAGAAUUUGAUGGAGUAGAAUUUCAAACACACAGAUGGGUCCAUGUGGUCCAUCCGUUCGAUUUGAUGGACUUCUCACGGCGCUUAUUUUUGGAUCUUUCCUCCUAUGGCUUCAAUGAUGAUGAAUUAGGAAAAAUAUUAUGUAAUCAAGACAUAGAUCCUCAAACUGAGGACACUAUUCAAGCAGUUUUAAAAAUGGGUGACCAUGACCUAUUUGAAGGGUGUCGUAGAAUUCUGGAUGAAAAUGAUUGUCUCAUCGUUAUUGAUGGCCUACGGUCGAGGGAUGACUGGAACAUGAUAAAGUCUACCUUAUUAUCCGGGCCUAUUAAAGGUUGUGUCCUGGUCAUUACAAAUGAAGAGUGUGUGGCCACACAUUGUGUCGAUGAUAAAGAUCGAGCGCUCAACUCUAAUUGUAGGGUAGCUGAGGGGCUCGCUCUUUCCACCAGAAAAGAAGAGGCACAGGACUGGACCAACAAUUUUGAACUUCUUAGGCAUGAAGAUAUAGACAUUACCAACCUUUUAAAAGAAGGUCCUGGUGUGGCGUCGGUGUGGGGUAUUGCAGGUGUUGGGAAAUCAGCUCUGGUGAAAAGUGUUUACUAUCGUGUAAUGCUUGGACUGUAUCCAAUUUAUCGGUGGGCGAAGGAUCCCAGGGAUAGAUUACGAAGGAAAUUUACAGCAUACAGCUGGGUCGAUGUGCCCCAUCCAUUCAAUUUGACGGAGUUCUCUCGGCGCUUACUUCUAGAUUUUCACUCAGAUGACCUUCAAGCUAAGGAAACUGCAAUAGUUGGCAUCAUCGAAGGCCAAGACCCAAUUCAAGGGUGUCGUAGAUUUUUGCGUGAACACGAAUGCUUCGUCGUUAUUGAUGGCCUGUGGUCAACGGAUGACUAG
RNAcentral lists this ribosomal RNA (2055 nucleotides) under Triticum aestivum (bread wheat). RNAcentral describes it as "partial small subunit ribosomal RNA". The record is from RNAcentral. Lineage: Eukaryota; Viridiplantae; Streptophyta; Magnoliopsida; Poales; Poaceae.